GUGGGGAAUAUUGCACAAUGGGCGCAAGCCUGAUGCAGCGACGCCGCGUGGGGGAUGAAGGCCUUCGGGUUGUAAACCCCUUUCAGCAGGGAAGAAGCGACUGGGUUUUCUCAGACGUGACGGUACCUGCAGAAGAAGCGCCGGCUAACUACGUGCCAGCAGCCGCGGUAAUACGUAGGGCGCAAGCGUUGUCCGGAAUUAUUGGGCGUAAAGAGCUCGUAGGCGGUUUGUCGCGUCUGGUGUGAAAACUCAAGGCUCAACCUUGAGCUUGCAUCGGGUACGGGCAGACUAGAGUGCGGUAGGGGUGACUGGAAUUCCUGGUGUAGCGGUGGAAUGCGCAGAUAUCAGGAGGAACACCGAUGGCGAAGGCAGGUCACUGGGCCGCAACUGACGCUGAGGAGCGAAAGCAUGGGGAGCGAACAGGAUUAGAAACCCCUGUAGUCC
This 444-nucleotide ribosomal RNA is filed under the name uncultured bacterium. RNAcentral's name for it is "bacterial SSU rRNA". It matches the Rfam family "Bacterial small subunit ribosomal RNA", at positions 354 to 796 of the family's 1533-position model. The record is from RNAcentral.